RNAcentral lists this ribosomal RNA (329 nucleotides) under uncultured eukaryote. RNAcentral describes it as "partial 18S ribosomal RNA". It matches the Rfam family "Eukaryotic small subunit ribosomal RNA", at positions 1470 to 1796 of the family's 1831-position model. The record is from RNAcentral.
CCCUUAGAUGUUCUGGGCCGCACGCGCGCUACACUGACGAAUGCAACGAGCUUAUAACCUUGGCCGAAAGGUCUGGGUAAUCUCCAAAUUUCGUCGUGAUGGGGAUAGAUUAUUGCAAUUAUUAAUCUUCAACGAGGAAUGCCUAGUAAGCGCAAGUCAUCAGCUUGCGUUGAUUACGUCCCUGCCCUUUGUACACACCGCCCGUCGCUACUACCGAUUGAAUGAUUUAGUGAGGACUUCGGACUGGGACCGAUGCGUCUUUCGGGCUGCGUCGGUAUUCUGGAAAGAUGUCCAAACUGUAUCAUUUAGAGGAAGUAAAAGUCGUANCA